GAUGUGACCUCCCCGCAGUCGGAAUGCAAAUUGGUGAAAGUGACAGCGGUUUAAACCCUGAAGAGUGAUGACGGCGAAACAGCCGCAGUGGGAUGUUCAUGUUCAUGUGGAUGACAUCACACGUGAUGACAUCAUGCGUGAGGUCAUCUACAUCAUGGACCACAGCAGCUGGUUAAGUUUGGAACCAGAAGAAAGUGUCCUUCAGGAUUCUUUAUUCGUUAAAGAGCAGACUGUGUAACACACACCCCCCCCCCCGCCGCCCAAAAGAGCCUCAAGUGACUAUAAAAUGAUCCAGAUAUUUGCCCCGGAGGCGCCGAUAAGGCAAUACUUAGAACCCAAAGAUUUACAUAAAUUAUUGGUGUCCUCCCUCCAGUUAUUUUUGUCAGAGUGGGAAUGGAACUGAAAUGUUAUUUAUGAAAGAGCCCCGAUAGAACUCUACUUCAUUCCAUUUGAAUAGAAUUAACUUUAUUUUGAAGGAACGAAGCAGCACUGUCAGUCCUCCUCUCUGAGGCUUCUGGCCCUCAUUCGUCUCCUGGUGCUCGGUGACUUCCAACGAAUCAGUAUUCCAGAACAUCUCCGCAGCCGUCUGGUGGAGGAGCACAUCUUCAUGCAGGAGAUCACCUCCCUGGCCUCGGAGUCUGUUGACCAGAUGGAGGACUCUCAGUGGUUCCUCCUCACACUGAGACUCUGGAGGACACUCUGAACACCAUCAGGUCUCCUUCAUUUGUGUUCUAAUCACUAAACCAACAGCUGUUCUUCCUCCACUCAUCUUCUGGCUGGAGGUCCUGUCCUCUCUCCUGCAUCCAAAGAGAUGAACAUCAGACAAACGGUGAAGAGCUCAGAGCUCCUCAGGCUGAUGUGAGACGGAGACGCCUUCGCCCCCUGAAUGCAAACGGCAACGUUAUCGUGUGCGCGUUCAAUUCAACCAUAAAUCACACAAUGACAGAAAGUCCUCCGGCGGGGGGGGGGGGGGGGGGGGGGCGUGCCAGAGAGGGCUUCCAGUCAGAAUACAAAGAGGAGUCACACAGUCCAUCAGAUGUCUCCAUCUUGGUCUCCUCGGGAAUCGGCAACUCACCUUUUGUCAUUUACCGUGAUUCUGAUCUUCAGAUGAGAUCAAACGUCCUUUUACCUCUUUACUACUUUCUCCUAAACUCACCAAACGUUACUAUUUAAUGGCGAGGUGUGUUUCACAGUGAGUGCUCCUCUUAAUGUAGUGAUGAAGUGGUGAACUCUCGUGUUGAUGUCUCCUCUGAGCUGCUCGUGUUGAAUGGAGCAGGAGGGAGGAGGUCAUUAAAACAGAGGGAAGCGUCGGUGUGAAAUGAAGAGGAAGCCAUCUGUCAUGGAGCGACGAGGCUUCACCUGGAUGCUAAUGAGCCUCAAACCGCCGGCAGAGGAAAUAUUAAACUGUUAAACGUGAGCGAUGAUGGCGAGCCGGCGGAGGAGGAAGGUCGCUGCUUUUAACGCGUCUCUUUUUCUUUCAUCCGGGGACAAACAUCCUGCCGUCUGUGUUUUGACUGGUCCUGAAUCAAGAUCAGCAGAGACCAGUCCACCGUGGACAGACCAGGGUCCUCCAGCAGAGACCAGUCCACCGUGGACAGACCCAGGUCCUCCAGUAGAGACCAGUCCACUGUGGACAGACCCAGGUCCUCCAGAAGAGACCAGUCCACUGUGGACAGACCAAGGUCCUCCAGCAGAGACCAUUUCACCGCGGACAGACCCAGGUCCUCCAGAAGAGACCAGUCCACUGUGGACAGACCCAGGUCCUCCAGAAGAGACCAGUCCACUGUGGACAGACCAGGGUCCUCAGUAGAGACCAGUCCACUGUGGACAGACCCAGGUCCUCCAGUAGAGACCAGUCCACCGUGGACAGACCCAGGUCCUCCAGCAGAGACCAGUUCACUGUGGACAGACCAGAGUCCUCCAGUAGAGACCAGUUCAUUGUGGACAGACCAAGGUCCUCCAGCAGAGACCAGUUCACCGUGGACAGACCAAGGUCCUCCAGCAGAGACCAGUUCACCGCGGACAGACCCAGGUCCUCCAGUAGCGACCAGUCCACCGUGGACAGACCAGGGUCCUCCAGUAGAGACCAGUCCACUGUGGACAGACCAGGGUCCUCAGCAGAGACCAGUCCACCGUGGACGAUGGAUGGUGGUGAUUCUGGUCCUCCUGCUGACUGAACUGAGUGCAUGAAUCUUCUUCUCCAUGAAUCACAUGCUCAUAUUGCUGCCUCCCCCCUCACCC
Long non-coding RNA from Gasterosteus aculeatus aculeatus (three-spined stickleback), 2241 nucleotides. Lineage: Eukaryota; Metazoa; Chordata; Actinopteri; Perciformes; Gasterosteidae. The record is from Ensembl.